RNAcentral lists this ribosomal RNA (467 nucleotides) under uncultured bacterium. Its description in RNAcentral is "partial 16S ribosomal RNA". It matches the Rfam family "Bacterial small subunit ribosomal RNA", at positions 28 to 507 of the family's 1533-position model. The record is from RNAcentral.
GACGAACGCUGGCGGCGUGCUUAACACAUGCAAGUCGAACGGAAAGGCCCUGCUUUUGUGGGGUGCUCGAGUGGCGAACGGGUGAGUAACACGUGAGUAACCUGCCCUUGACUUUGGGAUAACUUCAGGAAACUGGGGCUAAUACCGGAUAGGAGCUCCUGCUGCAUGGUGGGGGUUGGAAAGUUUCGGCGGUUGGGGAUGGACUCGCGGCUUAUCAGCUUGUUGGUGGGGUAGUGGCUUACCAAGGCUUUGACGGUAGCCGGCCUGGGAGGGUGACCGGCCACAUUGGGACUGAGAUACGGCCCAGACUCCUACGGGAGGCAGCAGUGGGGAAUAUUGCACAAUGGGCGGAAGCCUGAUGCAGCAACGCCGCGUGCGGGAUGAUGGCCUUCGGGUUGUAAACCGCUUUCGCCUGUGACGAAGCGUGAGUGACGGUAAUGGGUAAAGAAGCACCGGCUAACUACGUG